AUUGAACGCUGGCGGCAGGCUUAACACAUGCAAGUCGAGCGGGGGGAGGUAGCUUGCUACCGGACCUAGCGGCGGACGGGUGAGUAAUGCUUAGGAAUCUGCCUAUUAGUGGGGGACAACAUCUCGACAGGGAUGCUAAUACCGCAUACGUCCUACGGGAGAAAGCAGGGGAUAUUCGGACCUGGCGCUAAUAGAUGAGCAUAAGUCGGAUUAGCUAGUUGGUUGGGUAAAGGCCUACCAAGGCGACGAUCUGUAGCGGGUCUGAGAGGAUGAUCCGCCACACUGGGACUGAGACACGGCCCAGACUCCUACGGGAGGCAGCGGUGGGGAAUAUUGGACAAUGGGGGGAACCCUGAUCCAGCCAUGCCGCGUGUGUGAAGAAGGCCUUAUGGUUGUAAAGCACUUUAAGCGAGGAGGAGGCUACUUUAGUUAAUACCUAGAGAUAGUGGACGUUACUCGCAGAAUAAGCACCGGCUAACUCUGUGCCAGCCGCCGCCGUAA
This 501-nucleotide ribosomal RNA is filed under the name uncultured bacterium. RNAcentral's name for it is "partial 16S ribosomal RNA". It matches the Rfam family "Bacterial small subunit ribosomal RNA", at positions 30 to 523 of the family's 1533-position model. The record is from RNAcentral.